Molecule: transfer RNA, 76 nt
Filed under: Xanthomonas translucens
Lineage: Bacteria; Pseudomonadati; Pseudomonadota; Gammaproteobacteria; Lysobacterales; Lysobacteraceae
Description: tRNA-Arg
Source: RNAcentral
GGAUCCAUGGCGCGACGGUUGCAGCGAAGGACUCCUGAUCCGUUGGUGGCAGGUGCGAAUCCCGCUAGUCCCGCCA